Molecule: ribosomal RNA, 208 nt
Filed under: Prymnesium parvum
Lineage: Eukaryota; Haptophyta; Prymnesiales; Prymnesiaceae
Description: partial Bacterial small subunit ribosomal RNA
Rfam family: Bacterial small subunit ribosomal RNA
Source: RNAcentral
CUGAGGUACGAAAGUGUGGGGAGCAAACAGGAUUAGAUACCCUGGUAGUCCACACCGUAAACGAUGAAUGCUAGUUGUCUGCGCGCAUGCGUGCAGGUGACGCAGCUAACGCAUUAAGCAUUCCGCCUGGGGAGUACGGUCGCAAGGCUAAAACUCAAAGGAAUUGACGGGGCCCCGCACAAGCGGCGGAGCAUGCGGAUUAAUUCGA